GGAGGAGGUCGAGGCUUUGUGGCUCCGGAUUGGAGCUGGGCACAGGCUCGGAGUGCUGGCAAAGGGCUGGGAAUUUGUUUUCCCGAAUUUGUGCCACCAGCGACCCCCUCCCCUGCAGGAGAAGAGCCAAUUCCACCCUCUGGAGAAAUCCCGGGAUGCUCCAGGAGCCCUGGAUGGAGUUUUUUUCCAGCGCAAGCUGAAGUUUGUCUCUGUUUUCCCGGGAUUGCUCCUGUUGGGACAAACAUUUGUAACCAAAUUAAAUCCAGCCACAGCAAAAGGAGCCAACAGGAAACCCUUCGGCUCCAGUCACCCCAAAUCCUCGGAGGAUCCGGGGAUGGGAGCCUGGGAAAGCGGCUUUUGGCUGGGAAAAGGGACAACAGGGACUCGCUGCCACCACGAGGGGCGACCUGAGUCCCUGCAGGCUUCCAGCCACAUCCCUUCAUCCCAUCCCAUGGAUGUAUCCCAUCCCAUGGAUUCAGUCUGGGGUCUGUGGAGAACCCAGGAACCAUUUCGGGGGUGUUUUGUUUGGGAUUUGGAUCCCCACGAUCCAACACUUCCAUUUAUAUUUAUUUUUAAUUUUUUUAGGAUUAAGAAGCUCUGCACCAGGGAAGUGUGAAAAUCCAGCUGGGACAGCCAGCAGGAUCAAACCCAUGAUCCAGGCUGGGACUGCAGAUCCUGGCCCUGUGGAGCACAACAUCCCUGGUUUCAUUAUCCCAGCUCUCCACCGGAGGCAUCGCUCGCAGUCCCUCGGGACGAGUUGGACAACGCCGGGAAUGCUCAGGUUGAGGCUCUUCCCACUUUUCCUCCCUCCCUUCUUUCUCCCUGCUCCGCUCCGGCCCCAGAGCGGCUCUGGAGUCUCAGCACUGCCCAAGCCGCACUUCAAAGGCUCCGGGAGCUUCCCCGCGCUUCCCUGGCAGCUCCCGGCAUUAAUCACCCGGAGCCGGCGCGGCCCCGUCACCCCGGAUUGUCCCGGGGCUUCUCCCGGGUCUCUCCCAGCGCAGGGAAUGUGGGUCUGGUCCCCUGGGAUGGGACAUUUCCAUUCCGGGGGGUUUUGGGUCCCCAGACACGGCUGGAGGUGAUGAACAGGGACAGAGCAGAGCUGGGAAUGUUCUCCUGGAGAGGAGAAGGCUCCAGGGGGAGCUCGGAGCCCCUUGCAGGGCCUGGAGGGGCUCCAGGAGAGCUGCAGAGGGACUGGGGACAAGGCCUGGAGGGACAGGACACAGGGAAUGGCUUCAAACUGGAAUAGGGCAGGGCUGGAUGGGACACUGGGGAGGAAUUCCUGGCUAGGAUGGAAUUCCCAGGGAAGCUGUGGCUGCCCCUGGAUCCCUGGCAGUGUCCCAGGCCAGGCUGGAGCACCCUGGGACGGUGGGAGGUGUCCCUGUCCAGGGCAGGGGUGGCACUGGAUGGGCUUUAAGGUCCUUCCAACCCAAACCAUUCUGGAAUGCCUUUAUUCCAGGAGGGCUCCUGGCAACUCCAGGUGAAGCCAGGAGAGAUCCUGCGGGAUUCAGGGAGGAUCCUGGCAGGUGACGCCACGUGGGAUGAUCCUGAUCCCGAGCUGAUUUCCAGCUCCAGAUUCCAAUCUCCUGCACUUCCUCUCUCCCUGGGGGAGAUAAGGAUCCUGGGCACGAAGGGCUGAGCUGCCUGGAAUUGCAUCCGCUCCCACAGCCCGGCCAAGGCGGGAGCGAGGCCUCUCCUGGGGAAUGGGGAAUGGGAGGGGAUGGGGAAGGGGCAGGCGCCGCCUUCCUGUGGGUGUUUUCCAGAGAGAAACCGGGAUGGAGCCGGCACCUGCCAGAGCAGGUGACUCGGGUGUGAGGAAUGCGGACCCGGGAUGUGGGCUGGGAUCAGGGAGGGCAUGGAGGGAGCUGGAAACGCUCCCGAAAGGAGACGGGAAAGGGUCAGUCCCGGCAUCUCUGUCAGAACAGGAUCACCUGGAAGUGGUGCAGGACUCAUCCCCACAGACCCUGGAGCUGCCAGUGGCUCAGCAGGGAUAGCAAAGCUUUUGGAGAGGCUUUGGGAAUUCAGAAGUGGGAAAAGGAUGAAGGGGUUGAGCACAGGGAAAAUCCUCACCUGGGCUGGGAAUGGUGGAGGAGGAAGGGCCAGGCAGGAGUUAUUCCAGGUAAUCCCCAAACCACUUCCUUUAGGGCCAGGAACUGGAGGAAUCCCAGGGCACCCUGGAAUGGUUCCCCUCCUCCCUGAGACUUUCCUGUGGGAAUGUUGGGUUUGCUCUCCUGGACGGGGCAAGGAUCCUCUCUCUGCUUCUCCAGGAUGAAGCUUGGGUCAUGGCAAACAAAAUUCCCUCUGGGAUUGGGGAAAACCACACAUUUGAGCAGAUCCUGCAGGAAUUUGCUGUUGGGAUGGCUCCCAAUCCUGCAGGUCUGGCAAGGGCACAGCGAGGUCCCUUCCCUCUGGAAGCCAAACCAACGCUGUGUGCAGAGCCAGAGGGAUGGGGCCUGCUGGGAAUGACCCCGCUCCUCCCAAAGGGCGUUUGGAGCAGGAAUUUUCCUUUUGGGGCAUCAGGCAAGGCCUGGUCUGGUUUGGGAGGAGAAGAGAUGGGGAUGGGGAGCAGGAGAGGGGAUGGGGAGCAGGGUGCAGAACCCCCCCCAACAUUCCCGGCCCUGCCCCUCCGCUCCGGCCGGUGGAACCGGGACAGCCCCACGUGAGCAGAGCUCACACGUCCCUGUCCCACCGCCUUUGAUCUCCAGCCCUGGCAGGGAAGGUGUCCCGGCAGGAAUCCGGCCCGUCAGGUCCCAUCGGAGCCGGUGGCACUUGGUGACCAAGCCCUGGCAGCUGAGGUGGCCCCGGUUGGAGCCAAGCUCCGCCUCUGCCCCGGGGCUGCGGGGAGGAUCCUGCCCCGGGAGUUCGGGGGGCUCGGCUGCUCCCGAGGAUCGGCACGGCCUGGAGGGGCUGUGCCGGCCGUCCCCGGCCCCGGGGGGCUGUGCAGGCCCUGACCCCGGUCCUGGCAGGGCACAGGAGCUGCUGCUGCUUCUGUGGCCUUUUGGCGCUGGAAAAUAAAGGCGUAAAAAAGAUGGAAAUUUUUUCCAUGGGCAGACAGUGAUGGAACAAGAGAGAAUCUUCCUCCUCCUCCUCCUCCUCCUCCUGCUGCUGCCCAGGGUGGCCCUGGGUGGCCCCGUCCCCGCUGGAGCGGCCGCUCCCGAUUACUCACGGUGGGGGAAA
Molecule: long non-coding RNA, 3174 nt
Filed under: Corvus moneduloides (New Caledonian crow)
Lineage: Eukaryota; Metazoa; Chordata; Aves; Passeriformes; Corvidae
Description: lncRNA (ENSCMUG00000018437.1)
Source: RNAcentral